RNAcentral lists this long non-coding RNA (322 nucleotides) under Salvia miltiorrhiza (redroot sage). RNAcentral describes it as "long non-coding RNA (SMIL_LNC002260)". The record is from RNAcentral. Lineage: Eukaryota; Viridiplantae; Streptophyta; Magnoliopsida; Lamiales; Lamiaceae.
UUAGUUUUUGAAGACUUGAAUUAUUGGUGGUCGAAAUUAAAUUGUCACAUUGAUAAGUUAUUUUUGGAUCAUAUUGAUUCCACAUCUAUGGAUAUAUUUCAGCUUAUGAAUUUGAAAUGGUCGCCGGAGAGCGAGGGUGGUGAGUCGGGCAGGGGAUGACGGCAACCGUUGUUUGUGUGUUGGGGGUGCGCUUAAUAGAAAUAUAGAGGGAGGGAGCGGGGUUCGGCGUUAGAAAGGGUGGCGGUGGCGGCUUGUCGCCGCUGAACCGUCGAAGUUUCAGAUGGAGGAAGGGUGACGACAUGGCUCAUCUAGGAAGAGGGAG